AUGAUUCGAGGUCAUCUCUUUGGAACUGGCCCACAUUUCCUCUGGCGAUUGGGCCGACAGUAUGGAUCACAUCUGGAAGAUGAGCCAAGCACCCAGAACACUGCCCGUCAUCUACAGACCACAGAGCUAACUGUCACAGCACAAGGUGACAGCAACACCCAAGCUCCACAGUCAACACCUGCACACCCUGAACGAGACAGCACAGGUCCUCACGCCAGGUACCACAAACACAAGGUACCAGAAAAUGCUGUUUCGACUACCUGCCUUCGCAGCGAGCUACACAAGACCGGUCCUCAUCACCCACCGAUCGUCCCACCUGCCCUAAUGCCAACAUUCCUGGGCAGCCCUGUCAAAAAGGGGGUGGGUCAAAAAGGAGUCAACAGGGAAGACCUGAUCGACACAGGAUUAAACCUGACGGUGAUCUCAUCUUACCUUUUCAAAAGACUCCAAUUUGAAGCUAAGGGACAAGAUCGAACUCUUACACCUCAAACUUAUGAACUGAAUGUACAGGUGUACAGACAGGAUGACAUCCAGUUUGAACAGGUUGUUUCCAUUCACCUGACAUUCGUUCCGAUGAGUCUAAUACAUCCCAUGUAUGUCCCACCAAUGAACACUCAUACAUUGCUCAUCGACAAAGACCUGCUAGAACACUUUGACCCUUUUCUGAACUUCAAACAGCUAAAAGACUUUGCUCAAGUGCGAGAACCUCUUUUCUCUCCAGCCACACAGGUUGCUAGAGCCAGACUGUCAGGUCGCAGAGGUCACGGGAACUCCCACAGAGCCAGACGGUCAGGUCACAGAGGUCACGGGAACCCCAGCAGCCAGCCAUGAGUACAACGCCCUAACAACAGGCCCAAGUUCAAGCCUCUGUACCUUAGUCAACAAACAGGGUACGGUGGUACCAGCUUACACCAAAGGGGUCGCUGUUCGACUCAACCUGCAAGGUGGUCAAACCUUACACCACACGCUGGGUUUCUUCCAAUCCUCACCUGAAUGUGUGGAACUCGGACUCACACUUGCAAACAAGCAUGUCAAACACCAACACCUGUUCCAGCAAUGUGAUAACAUCACAAAAACACACAAUGUGAUUGUGUACUGAAGAAGGAAAAAGGACACUCGAAGUUACCAAGUCUAGACGAGGACUUUAAAGAUUACACUGACACCCUUGCCAAAACUGGCACACUAAACAACAUUCUGUGGUCACUCCCAACCCACCCACCCACAUUCAAGGUUGAAGUGAUUACACACAGCACAAGAACUUUACUAGCUAAACUGCCUACCUCAGAAUCGCUUACGCAGGCUCCGUUGUCUACACAGACCAACAUAGCGGACAUGCGGGCUUCUGAAACCUUGAUAAUGACUUUGAUUUACCACCUCUCAGACCCCUCCAUCCACCCUGGCAACCAGUCUACAGUCACUGACAACCAAAGCCCCAGACCACUGCAUGAUACACAAACCAUGCUGCGUGCACAGAACAAUAUUGUGGGUUGUGCACCGUCUGACAUCACAAUGCCAGGGCUUGUAAUGCCACGGAGCAAAAGGGGGAUAAUGCAAUAUAUUUCCAUGACGCAGCAUGUGCUGCACCACGCAGCACCAGAGCCACUGACAAAACACUGAAGCAAGCGUCAUGCCAGCAGCAAGAUGUGGCAAAACAUGGGCGAGGCGAGCUAAACCCAGUCACCGCCCACGAAGCAAAGAGACUGUCCUGUCCAACCAAAGACAGGCCUUGUUUGUUUCUUUCUCCCCUUUCUCUCUCUCUCUCCCUAUUAUCUGUACCAGGAUGCUGCUGUGGUUUGCCGUGCCGUGCUGUCAGCCAAAGAGAGGACAGCUGCCACGAGAAAACCGCUGAGACUCCUGACUACCGAUGACAGGGCACACUACCCAGCACUGUAACCGAAUACAGCUGUACAAGGUUUCCGAUGGAGAGAGGACUCCCUCACUCACACUGAGGCCGAUGUCAAACACCUGUUCAGCCAACAUGAGAAAGUGACGGUUACACAAAUGGAGUUAGUGGACACCACCACCGCUCCAAACAGUUCCCGGGAGCUUUGCUUAGAGCCGCUGCUGCUGCCGCCAGAAUGUUUAACAUUGUUAUGUCCAGUGUCAAUGCAGCGAACCAGACUGUAAACUCCUUGAAACCACUGUUUACUGUCUUCCAGAAGACUUUACCCAGACUCAGCUGUUUACAGCAUUAACAACAGACAUGCUGUGGGAGGUUAGCUCCUCCAAUGACAGCCUAACCACGAGUAAAACCCCACCAUACAUGAUACCCUUAAGCCUUGUGUUAACUGUGCUGUCUUACGCCAUCACCAUGCCAGCUGACCUGCUACAAAUACACCUGGCCAACUCUCUGGAUAGCGCCUUCCUACGGCACGUAACCCCCAAACAGAGAGAAGUGAACGUGCUCCUGAACCAACUCAUCAGCGAGUCAAGCCAAGUCUACAGACCUAAAGACAUUGUCAGUGUCAGGAUGUGGAAAGCAACACCCACACCAAAACACACAUUCCAAAUGUGGUGGCCUACCACGACAGCGACACACAGCUGUACCUGGCCCCAAACAUGCACAUGUGUACUUUAACCAAAGACAUUCAUUAUCUCUGCCUUAGCAAACCCUUCCUCAGACACAACUCUGAAGGAAUCUGCGAGCUGCAACCCUGGGUCAGCGAUACGCGCUGCCCUGCCGAAGCCAAGCCUCGUACACAAGUCACAGAAACGCAAGCAGAGAUUGUGGGUAACAGAUGGCUCGUCAACACUCCUGUGCGCUCAGCUAUGCUGACCUACGACCAGCAUGACACCGCCACCCGUGCCAACCUGCUGGACCAAGUACUGAAAGGUACCACCCAACACAUUGACAUUACUCCUGUCGACACAGCCCUCCAAGCACAGCCUCGACAGCCCGUUCUGAACCAGUCAUCUGCGGUCCUAGCUGGACUGCUGCGACACUGCACGGGCAUCU
This is a long non-coding RNA of Carassius auratus (goldfish), 2956 nucleotides long. The record is from Ensembl. Lineage: Eukaryota; Metazoa; Chordata; Actinopteri; Cypriniformes; Cyprinidae.